AUGAUGUUCGUACUGUUAUAUUUGUAGUAUCUCUAAGUGGCUAUGAUAUGACGUUAUUGGAAGAUCCUUCGGUGAAUAGAUUGGAAGAGAGUCUAAAUUUGUUUGGACAAAUUGUUAAUAAUCCUUUUUUUAGGGAUGCCUCUUUUAUACUGCUUAUGAAUAAAUUUGAUCUAUUUAGGGAAAAAAUUUUGUAUUCCAACCGACACCUGCGACUUUAUUUUUCAGAUUAUAACGAAAUUGCACUUUAAGGUCCUGAUAGGGAUGUGGAUAGAGGAGCACUGUUUAUACAACAUAAAUUUGUUUUAAGAAAUGGAAAUUCUAGAAAAGUACUUUUUCCACAUUUUACAACUGCUACUGACACUGCCAAUGUUCAGGUUGUCUUUCAGUCAAUCAUGGAAAUAGUGAUUUCAGAAAAUCUCGGUCAGGUAACUCUCCUUUAGAAUUAUAAAUGUGUACAUAAUGUACAUAUUCUAAGCUUUAAUAAUUUUAUUUUUAUACGCUUUUUGAUUGACUUUGGAAUUAAUUUAGAGUAGUUUGGUAUAAAAAAGACUCUAUGAUCUCAUUACAUGCCAUUUCUGUAGUUUUUGAUUUUUGGAUAUGCUGCAACCUGUGUAUAAUUUACAAGGUGUUUCUUUGCAAACAGUUUAACAAUUAGAGCCCAGAAUUUUGUAACUAUUGUUUUUAAGUAGUUUUUUGUGUUUAAUAUAUCGUUUUUUUUUA
Molecule: RNA transcript, 720 nt
Organism: Agrilus planipennis (emerald ash borer)
Lineage: Eukaryota; Metazoa; Arthropoda; Insecta; Coleoptera; Buprestidae
Gene name: guanine nucleotide-binding protein G(o) subunit alpha-like
Exons: 3
Source: RefSeq, a predicted model, not a curated record